CGGCAACAGCUCAAAUUUGAAAUCUGGCCUCUCGGGGUCCGAGUUGUAAUUUGUAGAGGAUGUUUUGGGUACCGCCCCGGUCUAAAUUUCUUGGAACAGAAUGUCAAAGAGGGUGAGAAUCCCGUCUU
This 128-nucleotide ribosomal RNA is filed under the name Capronia americana. RNAcentral describes it as "Phialophora americana partial large subunit ribosomal RNA". It matches the Rfam family "Eukaryotic large subunit ribosomal RNA", at positions 99 to 227 of the family's 3401-position model. Lineage: Eukaryota; Fungi; Ascomycota; Eurotiomycetes; Chaetothyriales; Herpotrichiellaceae. The record is from RNAcentral.